CGGGGGGACCACCCUCCAAGCCUAAAUACUACCCAGUGACCGAUAGCGUAUAGUACUGUGAAGGAAAGGUGAAAAGGACCCCGGGAGGGGAGUGAAAUAGAACCUGAAACCCUGUGCCUACAAGCACUGAGAGCACCUCAUGUGUGUGAUCAGGUACUUUUUGUAGAACGGUCCGGCGAGCGAAUGUAUGCAGCGAGGUUAAGUUGUUCAGCAAUGAAGCCGAAGCGAAAGCGAGUCUGAACAGGGCGAUAUAAGUUGCAUGCAUUGGGCCCGAAACCGAGUGACCUACCCAUGGUCAGGCUGAAGUGGAGGUAAAACUCCAUGGAGGGCCGAACCGACCUCCGUUGAAAAGGCGGCGGAUGAACUGUGGGUAGCGGAGAAAUUCCAAUCGAACUCGGAGAUAGCUGGUUCUCCCCGAAAUAGCUUUAGGGCUAGCCUCAUGUUAGAUUUCCGGAGGUAAAGCACUGAAUGGCCUAGGGCCCGAGAGGGUACCGAAGCCUAUCAAACUCUGAAUGCCGGAAAAUUGAUGCAUGGGAGUCAGACUAUGUGAGAUAAGUCUCAUAGUCGAAAGGGAAACAGCCCAGAUCUACAGCUAAGGUCCCAAAGCAGGUUUAAGUGGAAAAGGAUGUGGAGCUGCAUAAACAGCCAGGAUGUUGGCUUAGAAGCAGCCACUCAUUCAAAGAGUGCGUAAUAGCUCACUGGUCGAGUGGCUCUGCGCCGAAAAUUCAACGGGGCUAAAACCUGCACCGAAGCUUAGGCAUCCGCAAGGAUGGGUAGGGGAGCGUUGUGUAUGCGGUGAAGCGUUAGCGUAAGCGGGCGUGAAGCGUACACAAGUGAGAAUGCCGGAAUGAGUAGCGAGAAUGAUGUAAGAAUCAUCAUGGCCGAAAGCCUCAGGUUUUUGGAGGAAGGUUCGUCCGCUCCAAGUUAGCCGGGAGCUAAGGUGAGGCCGAAAGGCGUAGCCGAUGCACAUACGGUAGAGAUUCCGUAGCCGCCAAAAGAUUUAAGCAGGGGGACACUUUUGAAGUGUUGGAGCCGGGUGUUGGUUUACCCGGUGGUAACCGAGUGAAAUUUAGUAGCGAAGUCCAGCAUGGAGAGAGGCGAGAAAAGCCCUGUGUAUAUCUGAGGCGCCCGUACCGCAAACCGACACAGGUAGGUAGGAAGAAGAUUCUAAGGCCAACGGGAGAAGGGUUGUUAAGGAACUCGGCAAGUUGACCCCGUAACUUCGGGAGAAGGGGUGCUCACGCGAGUGAGCCGCAGAGAAUCGGCCCAAGCAACUGUUUAGCAAAAACACAGGUCUGUGCUAAAUCGAAAGAUGACGUAUACGGGCUGACGCCUGCCCGGUGCUGGAAGGUUAAGGGGACAUGUGCAAGCAUCGAACCGAAGCCCCAGUAAACGGCGGCCGUAACUAUAACGGUCCUAAGGUAGCGAAAUUCCUUGUCAGGUAAGUUCUGACCCGCACGAAUGGCGUAAUGAUUUGGGCACUGUCUCAACAGCCCGCCCGGCGAAAUUGUAGUACCGGUGAAGAUGCCGGUUACCCGCGACAAGACGGAAAGACCCCAUGGAGCUUUACUGCAGCCUAAUAUUGGGUUUCGGUAUUACAUGUACAGGAUAUGUGGGAGACUAGGAAGCAGAGGCGUCAGCUUCUGUGGAGUCAGCCUUGGGAUACCACACUUGUGAUGCUGGAAUUCUAACCUGCGGCCUUGAAUCAGGUCGGGGGACAUUGUUAGGCGGGCAGUUUGACUGGGGCGGUCGCCUCCUAAAAAGUAGCGGAGGCGUUCAAAGGUUGGCUCAGCAUGGACGGAAACCAUGCCAUAGAGUGCAAACGCGUAAGCCAGCCUAACUGCGAGACUGACGGGUCGAGCAGUAACGAAAGUUGGAGUUAGUGAUCCGGUGGUAUGUGAGUGGAAAUGCCAUCGCUCAACGGAUAAAAGUUACCCUGGGGAUAACAGGCUGAUCUCCCCCAAGAGU
Molecule: ribosomal RNA, 1968 nt
Filed under: human gut metagenome
Description: bacterial LSU rRNA
Rfam family: Bacterial large subunit ribosomal RNA
Source: RNAcentral